GCCCCGGUACCCCAACCGGUAGAGGGAGCCGACUCAAACUCGGUCCAGUGUGAGUUCGAAUCUCACCCGGGGCACCA
RNAcentral lists this transfer RNA (77 nucleotides) under Actinomycetales bacterium. RNAcentral's name for it is "tRNA-Leu". It matches the Rfam family "tRNA". Rfam says of the family: Transfer RNA (tRNA) molecules are approximately 80 nucleotides in length. Their secondary structure includes four short double-helical elements and three loops (D, anti-codon, and T loops). The record is from RNAcentral. Lineage: Bacteria; Bacillati; Actinomycetota; Actinomycetes; Actinomycetales.